This 495-nucleotide ribosomal RNA is filed under the name uncultured bacterium. RNAcentral describes it as "partial 16S ribosomal RNA". It matches the Rfam family "Bacterial small subunit ribosomal RNA", at positions 28 to 507 of the family's 1533-position model. The record is from RNAcentral.
GACGAACGCUGGCGGCGUGCCUAAUACAUGCAAGUAGAACGCUGAAGGAGGAGCUUGCUUCUCUGGAUGAGUUGCGAACGGGUGAGUAACGCGUAGGUAACCUGCCUGGUAGCGGGGGAUAACUAUUGGAAACGAUAGCUAAUACCGCAUAAUAGUAGAUGUUGCAUGACAUUUGCUUAAAAGGUGCAAUUGCAUCACUACCAGAUGGACCUGCGUUGUAUUAGCUAGUUGGUGAGGUAACGGCUCACCAAGGCGACGAUACAUAGCCGACCUGAGAGGGUGAUCGGCCACACUGGGACUGAGACACGGCCCAGACUCCUACGGGAGGCAGCAGUAGGGAAUCUUCGGCAAUGGACGGAAGUCUGACCGAGCAACGCCGCGUGAGUGAAGAAGGGUUUCGGAUCGUAAAGCUCUGUUGUAAGAGAAGAACGAGUGUGAGAGUGGAAAGUUCACACUGUGACGGUAUCUUACCAGAAAGGGGCGGCUAACUACGUG